AUGCAAGGUGCUAAAAUUGAGAAUAUGGAGUCCUUUGAAGAUCAUCGCUCUACCUGCUCCGCAAUACAUCAACUGGCGACACAACAAGACCCAUCUUCUGUUGCAGGUACUGCCAUUUUCUGUGACGCGACUUGGAAGAUUGAAAGGGACAUUGAUUCAGCACCAGCGGGCAGAGGAAUCAUCAUCAAAACUGAUACCAAUCAACACUUCAAACUGUUGCAUGUUUCAGCCCUAUCUCCACCAGCAGUAUCUUCUCUUCAAGCAGAAAUUUUUGGCCUGCUUCUAGCGACCAUGUUGGAUGAAAAGCUUCGCAUACAGGAACCAACUUUUUUCACAGAUUCCGUGAUAUUGGCUUCGGAGGUGACAACUACAUCCGUCUUCAACACUGCAGGUCAUUGGGUCAUCAGACAACUCCUUGCAGCUAUUCAACAGUCCACGGUUUUCCAUCCAACCAAAAUAGCUCAUGUUAACAGGUGCUUCAAUGUAAAAGUUCAUCAUCAGCCCCAAUUAGCUCUCGAAAUUCAGUUUAGGUCUCUACCUGUUAGGUGUGUGUCUUCAGUUUCAGGUCAAUGUUCAGGGAGAGAUGUUCUCCCAUUGUUCAGUGUGAGUCCCUUCACACUCCUCUCUGUAAAAUGUUGCUAG
RNAcentral lists this ribosomal RNA (642 nucleotides) under Triticum aestivum (bread wheat). RNAcentral describes it as "partial small subunit ribosomal RNA". The record is from RNAcentral. Lineage: Eukaryota; Viridiplantae; Streptophyta; Magnoliopsida; Poales; Poaceae.